GUACCUCGUCGACUGGGUAGGUUGCGGUCCUGAGGAGCGCUCUUGGCUCGCUGGUUCUUCCAUCCCUGACCAGUCUCUCAUCGAGGCGUUCGUCUCCUCUCGUCCCUCCACUUCCUCCUCUGGGCCGCCAGGUGGCGACCCUUGAGGGGGGGGUGGUGUCAGGACUCAGCUGGCAGGGCUGUGCAGCUUGCUGCCAGCUCCGUUACCUCUGCUCCUUCACAGGUGUUCGUGGUUGGACGGUGGGCGGAGUGCGCACACCUGCAGCUCGUUCAGCAGCAUCUGAGCGUUCUAUAAGAACUGCGUCCGAACAGCGAGAGGACGCCAGAGUGUUUUCGUUGCGGUUUCCCUGUGUCUACGUGAACCCCGAAUGACUCUAGAGUUCCUCGGCUCGACCAGACGUACCUCAGCUCUGGACGCGAGUCACACCAACUCUCUCUCCGGUUCCUCUCGCUGCUCUGGAUCCCUGGACGCCCUCGUUGCUGCUCGGACCCCCUCGCCCCGCUCUCCGUCGACCCGAACGCCUGCUCAAGACAAUCCAGCUGAGUCCUCCUUACCGUCUCCCCGCUCGGUUAACCAAUCCUCGUGACUGGUCUGGUCCCUUGGUCCCGGGAUAAGUUCGAGCCACCAU
Long non-coding RNA from Fundulus heteroclitus (mummichog), 628 nucleotides. RefSeq lists it as uncharacterized. The transcript has 3 exons. The record is from RefSeq and is a predicted model, not a curated record. Lineage: Eukaryota; Metazoa; Chordata; Actinopteri; Cyprinodontiformes; Fundulidae.